ACAAGAAAAACAACAAGCAGUACGACACCCAUAAUAAAAACAACACGAAUCGACUCACGCAUAACAAGAACAACACGGCGGAGGCGCAGCUAACUGAUUCUUUUGGAGAGGAGUUGUAUUUGGGGCUUGCCCCGCAACCAGGCCGAGAACAACAAAAACUACCCUUAGGUAGAGCCUGAACUGGUUGGAUCGAAUGAUCAUUGCAACGCAGCGACCAAAGCAAUCCGUUUGCUCUUGACUCCCGAUUGGGAGGUUUCACAGACGAAGGUCUCGUGAAUGGGCACUCAACAAAAACAAGAAGCCCAUACAGAAAACAAUAAUAAAGAGCACACACUUUGGGGGAGCUUCGGCUCCCCCAGUAGCUUCCCCAGCGUUAAUACGCGCCAUCGUUU
Non-coding RNA from Pseudomonas syringae, 392 nucleotides. The record is from Rfam. Lineage: Bacteria; Pseudomonadati; Pseudomonadota; Gammaproteobacteria; Pseudomonadales; Pseudomonadaceae.